Molecule: ribosomal RNA, 481 nt
Filed under: uncultured soil bacterium
Lineage: Bacteria
Description: bacterial SSU rRNA
Rfam family: Bacterial small subunit ribosomal RNA
Source: RNAcentral
AGGAUGAACGCUGGCGGCGUGCUUAACACAUGCAAGUCGAACGAUGAAGGUUGGAGCUUGCUCUGGCUGGAUUAGUGGCGAACGGGUGAGUAACACGUGAGUAACCUGCCCCAGACUCUGGGAUAAGCGCUGGAAACGGCGUCUAAUACCGGAUACGAGCUUCCACCGCAUGGUGAGGAGCUGGAAAGAUUUCGGUCUGGGAUGGACUCGCGGCCUAUCAGCUUGUUGGUGAGGUAAUGGCUCACCAAGGCGACGACGGGUAGCCGGCCUGAGAGGGUGACCGGCCGCACUGGGACUGAGACACGGCCCAGACUCCUACGGGAGGCAGCAGUGGGGAAUAUUGCACAAUGGGCGCAAGCCUGAUGCAGCAACGCCGCGUGAGGACGAAGGCCUUCGGUUGUAACCUCUUUAGUAGGAAGAAGCGAGUGUUAGUUCACUUCAUGACGGUACCUGACAAGAAAACGCAACCGGCUAACUACGU